GGAGUUAGCCGGUGCUUCUUCUGUGAGUGAUGUCCUUCCUGCCGGCUAUUAACCCGCAGGCCUUCUUCCUCACUGAAAGUGCUUUACAACCCGAAGGCCUUCUUCACACACGCGGCAUGGCUGGAUCAGGGUUGCCCCCAUUGUCCAAUAUUCCCCACUGCUGCCUCCCGUAGGAGUCUGGGCCGUGUCUCAGUCCCAGUGUGGCUGAUCAUCCUCUCAGACCAGCUACGGAUCGUCGCCUUGGUGAGCCGUUACCUCACCAACCAGCUAAUCCGACAUAGGCUCAUCCGAUAGCGCGAGGCCCGAAGGUCCCCCGCUUUCCCCCGUAGGGCGUAUGCGGUAUUAGCCUGGGUUUCCCCAGGUUAUCCCCCACUACCGGGCAGAUUCCUAUGCAUUACUCACCCGUCCGACGCUCGCCACCACGGGAGCAAGCUCCCCGUGCUGCCGCUCGACUUGCAUGUGUUAGGCCUGCCGCCAGCGUUCAAUCUGAGCCAGGAUCAAACUCUGA
Molecule: ribosomal RNA, 508 nt
Filed under: uncultured bacterium
Lineage: Bacteria
Description: partial 16S ribosomal RNA
Source: RNAcentral